AUACGGAGGAUGCGAGCGUCAUCCGGAUUUAUUGGGUUUAAAGGGAGCGUAGGUGGGAUAUUAAGUCAGCUGUGAAAGUUUGGGGCUCAACCUUAAAAUUGCAGUUGAUACUGGUUUCCUUGAGUACGGUACAGGUGGGCGGAAUUCGUGGUGUAGCGGUGAAAUGCUUAGAUAUCACGAAGAACUCCGAUCGCGAAGGCAGCUCACCGGGCCGGAACUGACACUGAUGCUCGAAAGUGCGGGUAUCAAACAGGAUUAGAUACCCUGGUAGUCCGCACAGUAAACGAUGAAUACUCGCUGUUUGCGAUACACUGUAAGCGGCCAAGCGAAAGCGUUAAGUAUUCCACCUGGGGAGUACGCCGGCAACGGUGAAACUCAAAUGAAUUGACGGGG
RNAcentral lists this ribosomal RNA (393 nucleotides) under uncultured bacterium. Its description in RNAcentral is "partial 16S ribosomal RNA". It matches the Rfam family "Bacterial small subunit ribosomal RNA", at positions 523 to 918 of the family's 1533-position model. The record is from RNAcentral.